ACUAACUGGAGGACCGAACCGACUAAUGUUGAAAAAUUAGCGGAUGACUUGUGGCUGGGGGUGAAAGGCCAAUCAAACCGGGAGAUAGCUGGUUCUCCCCGAAAGCUAUUUAGGUAGCGCCUCGUGAAUUCAUCUCCGGGGGUAGAGCACUGUUUCGGCAAGGGGGUCAUCCCGACUUACCAACCCGAUGCAAACUGCGAAUACCGGAGAAUGUUAUCACGGGAGACACACGGCGGGUGCUAACGUCCGUCGUGAAGAGGGAAACAACCCAGACCGCCAGCUAAGGUCCCAAAGUCAUGGUUAAGUGGGAAACGAUGUGGGAAGGCCCAGACAGCCAGGAUGUUGGCUUAGAAGCAGCCAUCAUUUAAAGAAAGCGUAAUAGCUCACUGGUCGAGUCGGCCUGCGCGGAAGAUGUAACGGGGCUAAACCAUGCACCGAAGCUGCGGCAGCGACACUAAGUGUUGUUGGGUAGGGGAGCGUUCUGUAAGCCUGUGAAGGUGUACUGUGAGGUAUGCUGGAGGUAUCAGAAGUGCGAAUGCUGACAUAAGUAACGAUAAAGCGGGUGAAAAGCCCGCUCGCCGGAAGACCAAGGGUUCCUGUCCAACGUUAAUCGGGGCAGGGUGAGUCGACCCCUAAGGCGAGGCCGAAAGGCGUAGUCGAUGGGAAACAGGUUAAUAUUCCUGUACUUGGUGUUACUGCGAAGGGGGGACGGAGAAGGCUAUGUUGGCCGGGCGACGGUUGUCCCGGUUUAAGCGUGUAGGCUGGUUUUCCAGGCAAAUCCGGAAAAUCAAGGCUGAGGCGUGAUGACGAGGCACUACGGUGCUGAAGCAACAAAUGCCCUGCUUCCAGGAAAAGCCUCUAAGCAUCAGGUAACAUCAAAUCGUACCCCAAACCGACACAGGUGGUCAGGUAGAGAAUACCAAGGCGCUUGAGAGAACUCGGGUGAAGGAACUAGGCAAAAUGGUGCCGUAACUUCGGGAGAAGGCACGCUGAUAUGUAGGUGAAGCGACUUGCUCGUGGAGCUGAAAUCAGUCGAAGAUACCAGCUGGCUGCAACUGUUUAUUAAAAACACAGCACUGUGCAAACACGAAAGUGGACGUAUACGGUGUGACGCCUGCCCGGUGCCGGAAGGUUAAUUGAUGGGGUUAGCGCAAGCGAAGCUCUUGAUCGAAGCCCCGGUAAACGGCGGCCGUAACUAUAACGGUCCUAAGGUAGCGAAAUUCCUUGUCGGGUAAGUUCCGACCUGCACGAAUGGCGUAAUGAUGGCCAGGCUGUCUCCACCCGAGACUCAGUGAAAUUGAACUCGCUGUGAAGAUGCAGUGUACCCGCGGCAAGACGGAAAGACCCCGUGAACCUUUACUAUAGCUUGACACUGAACAUUGAGCCUUGAUGUGUAGGAUAGGUGGGAGGCUUUGAAGUGUGGACGCCAGUCUGCAUGGAGCCGACCUUGAAAUACCACCCUUUAAUGUUUGAUGUUCUAACGUUGGCCCCUGAUCGGGGUUGCGGACAGUGUCUGGUGGGUAGUUUGACUGGGGCGGUCUCCUCCUAAAGAGUAACGGAGGAGCACGAAGGUUGGCUAAUCCUGGUCGGACAUCAGGAGGUUAGUGCAAUGGCAUAAGCCAGCUUGACUGCGAGCGUGACGGCGCGAGCAGGUGCGAAAGCAGGUCAUAGUGAUCCGGUGGUUCUGAAUGGAAGGGCCAUCGCUCAACGGAUAAAAGGUACUCCGGGGAUAACAGGCUGAUACCGCCCAAGAGUUCAUAUCGACGGCGGUGUUUGGCACCUCGAUGUCGGCUCAUCACAUCCUGGGGCUGAAGUAGGUCCCAAGGGUAUGGCUGUUCGCCAUUUAAAGUGGUACGCGAGCUGGGUUUAGAACGUCGUGAGACAGUUCGGUCCCUAUCUGCCGUGGGCGCUGGAGAACUGAGGGGGGCUGCUCCUAGUACGAGAGGACCGGAGUGGACGCAUCACUGGUGUUCGGGUUGUCAUGCCAAUGGCACUGCCCGGUAGCUAAAUGCGGAAGAGAUAAGUGCUGAAAGCAUCUAAGCACGAAACUUGCCCCGAGAUGAGUUCUCCCUGACUCCUUGAGAGUCCUGAAGGAACGUUGAAGACGACGACGUUGAUAGGCCGGGUGUGUAAG
Molecule: ribosomal RNA, 2134 nt
Filed under: Escherichia coli
Lineage: Bacteria; Pseudomonadati; Pseudomonadota; Gammaproteobacteria; Enterobacterales; Enterobacteriaceae
Description: partial 23S ribosomal RNA
Rfam family: Bacterial large subunit ribosomal RNA
Source: RNAcentral